CAGCAGCCGCGGUAAAACAGAGGGUGCGAGCGUUAAUCGGAUUUACUGGGCGUAAAGCGUGCGUAGGCGGCUUCUUAAGUCGGAUGUGAAAUCCCUGAGCUUAACUUAGGAAUUGCAUUCGAUACUGGGAAGCUAGAGUAUGGGAGAGGAUGGUAGAAUUCCAGGUGUAGCGGUGAAAUGCGUAGAGAUCUGGAGGAAUACCGAUGGCGAAGGCAGCCAUCUGGCCUAAUACUGACGCUGAGGUACGAAAGCAUGGGGAGCAAACAGGAUUAGAUACCCGCGUAGUCCCUGUCUCUUAUAC
This 301-nucleotide ribosomal RNA is filed under the name uncultured bacterium. RNAcentral describes it as "partial 16S ribosomal RNA". It matches the Rfam family "Bacterial small subunit ribosomal RNA", at positions 509 to 807 of the family's 1533-position model. The record is from RNAcentral.